AACUUAUAUGUUACUACUUGGUUGUCACCAAUUCUCAAAUAAGAAUAUAAAUAACCUUAUAUCUUCAGAUUGCAGAUGUCAACUGUAAGAUCUUGGCAGUAAACACGAGGUUUCCUGGCCGUGUGCACGACUCUUUCAUAUUUAACAAUUCGUCCAUUUAGGAUGAAUUAAGAAGAUUGUACAAUGGCCACAUUGGGGAGUAUUUCCUUCUGGGUAAGCAGAAAAUUGUGUAUCUGUACCUAGUGUAAAUUUAUUCGAUGGGGAGACGUGACGUACGCGUUUGCGUUAACUGUCAUUUUGUAUGGAAUUUUGAGUUUCCAAAACAUCCCGCUUGGCGCGCUGUUUCUAAAUCCCUUAUCACCACUUGCACCAUUUCACUAACUCGGGGUUAACUGGUUAACCCUGGAGUUACCAUGUUACCAGUACAAUUUCACAUUGGGUUAACGGUUUAACCGGUUAACCCCGGGUUAUUGGAAUGGGGCAAGUGCAUGUUAGUAAAUGUACUAAGAUCACGACCACAGAAUAAAUAGUUCAUGACUAAGUUAAUAUACCUAUCAUAAUGUAAAAAAGGCAUAAGCAAGGGGGAAGUUUCGUUAGUUGUUCAGAUGAUUAAGUAUUAUGUAACCAAAAAAUAAUAAUUUCAGGUGACUCGGGGUAUGCUCUUGAGCCAUGGCUCAUGACGCCAGUGCUGAAUCCUGCCCCGGGAAGCCCAGAAGCAAGGUAGGUACACGGUCUGGCACUGUCGCGUGCGCAACACGAUCAAGCGUACCAAUGGGUACCUCAAAAACGUAUUCCGGUGCCUGGGCCACGACCGCGUCUUACACUACAGCCCGACGAAGGCAUCGUCAAUAAUAAAUGCAUGUUGCGUAGUAUACAACAUAAUGCAACAUUAUAGAAAUGUUCCCGAGGAAAUCGUAGGAGAUAUUGAUGAAGACGCUCCUCAAGAACUUCCUCAUCGUCAUGCGCAAAACGGACUACUAUUAAGAGUGGCGCAGGAAAAGCGUGCGCGUCUAAUAAAUACAUAUUUUGCUUA
Long non-coding RNA from Cydia pomonella (codling moth), 1033 nucleotides. RefSeq lists it as uncharacterized. The transcript is spliced from 2 exons. The record is from RefSeq and is a predicted model, not a curated record. Lineage: Eukaryota; Metazoa; Arthropoda; Insecta; Lepidoptera; Tortricidae.